This 81-nucleotide transfer RNA is filed under the name Treponema sp. Its description in RNAcentral is "tRNA-Leu". It matches the Rfam family "tRNA". Rfam says of the family: Transfer RNA (tRNA) molecules are approximately 80 nucleotides in length. Their secondary structure includes four short double-helical elements and three loops (D, anti-codon, and T loops). Further hydrogen bonds mediate the characteristic L-shaped molecular structure. tRNAs have two regions of fundamental functional importance: the anti-codon, which is responsible for specific mRNA codon recognition, and the 3' end, to which the tRNAs corresponding amino acid is attached (by aminoacyl-tRNA synthetases). tRNAs cope with the degeneracy of the genetic code in two manners: having more than one tRNA (with a specific anti-codon) for a particular amino acid; and 'wobble' base-pairing, i.e. permitting non-standard base-pairing at the 3rd anti-codon position. The record is from RNAcentral. Lineage: Bacteria; Pseudomonadati; Spirochaetota; Spirochaetia; Treponematales; Treponemataceae.
GCGAGAGUGGUGAAACUGGUAGACACGCCAGACUUAGGAUCUGGUGCGCAAAGCAUAAGGGUUCGAGUCCCUUCUCUCGCA